Long non-coding RNA from Lactuca sativa (garden lettuce), 3539 nucleotides. RefSeq lists it as uncharacterized. The record is from RefSeq and is a predicted model, not a curated record. NCBI's taxonomy places the organism in Eukaryota, Viridiplantae, Streptophyta, Magnoliopsida, Asterales, Asteraceae.
UUAAGAGAAUCAAUUUUUUUUACUGGGAAUUGUAGGACUUUAGCCGAUAAAGGGAGUCCUUCCAGAAAUUCUCGAUGGCCAAGGGAGACCCAAGGCCAAGGAGGGGGUUUGGAAAUAGUUUUCAACCAGCAAUUGACGCGCCUCGGUUAUUACCUCAUUAGCUGCGUCAUUGCCCCAAGCGCAAAGAUGCUUAAUCCGUUACCCCUUCGCCUCUUUUUAUAUCACACCACCCCUCUUCCCUUUCAUAUGCUCCAUCCGAUGUGGGACUCCUAAACAAUGGCAACUGAGUGCUCUUUUCAAGGAUCCAAGUCGAAAGGUCUUGUUUCGGCUAAUCCAUUCAUAAGCGAUGAUGGUGAUUUCGAAAUUGUGGCUACGUAUGCUGGUGGAAAAUUAGGGUUUAUGAGGACUGGCGAUCGAUUCACGAUGCUGUCUAUCACAAGGGCUAGUAAGCAGGUAUAACCCUAAUGUUGUGUUAACAAAGCUUUUCAUGUUUAGAUGGAAAAAGCUGAGAGCGGUUGAAUAAGUGUUGUUACGGGUCAGAUUAUGUCGACUCAAAAUGCUUGUUGCACGUCCUUUUAUAUAAUUAAUGUGUUAAAUAGAACUAGAUGGGGACAAUUGUUUUCCGUUGUUUGUUCAUUGUAAAUGUCAUCCAAUCAAAAUACGUAUAUACCCAUUGUUAUUUACAAACUUCGCCACAUUUAGAUAUAGGAACAUCCAUUCUAAUAACAACUUUUGCAGCCUGACUAAUGGUUGUUUUUAUGCAACUUAAGUCCUUCAUUGUCUCCUUGAAUCAUGAAUUCCUCCAUAUGCUGACAUUUAAAAAAAAAAUGAGUGUUACUAUUACACACGAAUCAAGAAUCUGAAAAUGUAUAAAAAUAAAUGGAUUUUACUUCACAUAAAGCGGUUCCAGUUCCGGUUACGACAUCCUAGGAACGAACAAUAGUUUCUUUUCCACCCUGAAUUGGAUGCUAAAACUGUAUUUAUUCACCAUUUAUAGCAUUGUACUUUCCAAUUUAUCAGUUUAUGCAACAAAAUAGUUUCCUACAUAUGAUUUCCACCUACAUUUCAUUAUAAGACCAAAACCGUGAAUAUUGCAUAAAUUGGUAAACAAAAAAGCACAACAUUGUUGCAUAAAUGGUAAAAAUGUGAAUCAUUCUUGCAUAAAUUGGGAAGAAAUAAAACACUAACAUAAAUAAACAUUCGACCGGUCAAACUUUUUAAAUAUAAAAAUAGCAUGAAGGGGCAGUUUGGUCAAAAAAUAUUAAAAUCAUUUUUUUUUAAUUAUAAAAACAAUAUGCUGGAGCAUUUUGGUCUGAUGUUGUUAGAAUCAUAAAUUUCUAACUAUAAAAAAUAGCAUGCAGAGGUAGUUUACAGAACUGUUUGCCCAAAAAACUUUGUAUUUGAUUUUAAACCAAAAAACUUAGGUUUCCACAAGGCUCAUUUAUGAAAGAAUCUGGGAUUCGGUAAUACACACUUUGAAAUCCUCCUCUCAUGAUUUUCCUUCCUGAAUAUCUGCAUAAAAUUAGAGAAUAAACUAUGAAGUAGCUAAUUAAAUUUUAUUGUAUUCCUAAUAGCAUGAAAGUAUGUUUUAUAGCACUAUAGUUUGCAUCGAUUUAAAAAAGAAAACUAAAAACUUGAGAAAAUUAAAAGAUUCCAUUUAAUGAAUUUAUAUUAAAAAAAUAAAAAAAUCUAGAUCAAUUUUAUUUAGAUUACAAAAUGGCAGCUUGACUUUAUGUAUAACCAAAUCAAACACCAAUUGAGAGUCAUUUUCGCUCCUUUUAACAAAACUAACAUAUAUGGUCCCUGUAUAUUGAACAAAAAUGGGCAAAUUGAUAAAAAUGGUGAAAAUGAAUUCUUUGACCAAAAAAAUUAUAUUUCCUGUUUUAAGAGUUUCAUAUUAGAUAUUUUUUUUGUUUUCUGUUUAAAUGGGUCAAUUAACGAAAAAAAACUCCGUUAAAAUUACCAAAUUGGAUAAAAAGGUCAAAAUGAUCAUUUUAACUAACAAAUUAAAAAAAAAAAAUCAAACUUUCUGAACAUCAAAUGCUUGAUAAGAAUGAGGACUGAAAUUUUGACUUGAACCAAAGAAAAAAUAGAUUUUAACCUGAGCUGCAGUGGUUGUCAAUUGACCAAAUUCUUUUGAACAUAUUUAUAAAUUCAUGUAAUGUUACUAUACAGCAAUGUCACAACUUUUUACAACGAACAUUACAAAUUUAAAAAAGAAACAAAUAGACAUAAUUGAUAAUACCAUUUUUAACAAAGCAUAAAUAAUGUAUUAAGAAAUUUUUUAAAGAGCUGAAAUUACCUUUACUUAUGGGCACAACAGGGAGACCAUACCAGAACUCUCUCUUUUCUCACUACGUUUCCCACAUUGACCGGUAACUAUAACCUAAUUCAACAUUAAAUAUAAAAGAUUUUAGUCUUUGAAUAUUUCCCUUCAACACAUUUUUUGGUUAAUAAACGAAAAACUAUUUUAGAUAAGCUCAAAAUUGGCUGAAAUUUCAAAGAAAAAUAUACCUGAUGUUGGAGUUCAUUAAGCUGGAUUUCCUACUGCAUAAUUGCCUCCAACGUGUGAAAAUGUAUCCAUUGUAUUGAUCCCUAUGUUGAAGAAUGGCACCUACAACAGUCAUGAUUAAUUGCAAAAAGGGUAAGUAAGGAAUAAAAGUAUCAGUUAAGAAUCUUAGGGUAUGUUUGGAAGCAGAAUUUGGAAAUCCAGAUUUCAUUCCACCAUGUCGUCACUAUAUUCUCGGACAUUACAUUCCCUUCUAACAUCAAAACCCCUGAAAACAUAGUUAGCAGAAAGAUUAAUCAGAUAACAUAAAGCCCCCUUAAGUCCUAACUCCUCACACACAGCAAAACAAAAGUGUGAACAAAAAAUUCAGCUUAAAUAGUUAUACAAUUAGAUAAAAAAUGAAAAUAAAUAAGCUAAUGGAGAAAGCAUCGCUGAUCAGAAAGCUACCAGAUGGUGUGGCUGAACAUAUUUUCUUCGAAAAUUCAUAUCCAACCUGCUGACAGUUAAUCAAUGUUUAUCAAUAAAUAUAAUGAUCAUAUAGAAUCCCAUAUACAUGCAAACACGAUUUGUUGAAAUUUUGAACUGUUUCAGAUGUAUUGAUAUGAAAAUGGACAAUCGGAAUAUGCUUUUGUGAGGGUAAAAUGACCCAUAUCCACCAAAUUUUGGCUCUGUGAAGAAAUUUAUUAUAAAGUUGUUCAGAAUAUAUGAUACAACAACAAAUUAUACAUCAAAUUCAAGCACUCUAUGCAAUAAACGCAUUAAAACCCUAAUUACACCGGAGUUUACUGGUAUCCUACAACAAUAGUUGAUUCAAGUGAGUUUUUUGGUUAAUCAAUUGAAAAUUAAGGAAAGAAACAUACCGAUUGGCGCGUGAUGUGCAUAAGCCAGUUGAAAUUUUGGAUAUGCUUCGAAAAGCAUGUACCGGUAGCUUCCCUCGCUUAAUCUGGCGGUGAGGACGGGGAAUAACGGGGAAUACGAUUUGGGUUUUGGAGUCGCUAUCUACGACUGCAUCAAUCUCCCCCACGGUGGA